This is an RNA transcript of Pistacia vera, 1401 nucleotides long. RefSeq lists it as uncharacterized. The transcript is spliced from 9 exons. The record is from RefSeq and is a predicted model, not a curated record. NCBI's taxonomy places the organism in Eukaryota, Viridiplantae, Streptophyta, Magnoliopsida, Sapindales, Anacardiaceae.
UUUGAAUGUUUGUUUAAUGCACGCCAAACAUUCUCAUUCCUCCAUGGCUAUUCAACCUAUAAUUUCAUCUCUUCACUCUCAUUUUCAUCUUCAACUCCUCCCUCACUCUCCUACUGUUUCUCCAUUUACGUUUCUUCCUGGACACCUCCACUCUAAAUUUCACAAGGCCCCCAGAAAAUCUCCAAGAAUCCUUUGCAAAUCCAAUGAAGAUGAUUAUCUCAUAGAUUCUUCUGUUUCUGUUGGUGAUGGCUUUUCUUUCAGUGGAGGAAAAUAUUCAGAUGGGUCAUCACCUUCUGAUGAAUGGUUUAAGCAAGGAAAAAUGAUGAAAGCACAUCCUGUUUCUGGUUUUGGUGAGAAGGCAAAAGAUCCUGUUUUCGGACUUACUAUGGGGCUGCUUCUCAGGCCUCAGCUGAUGUUUUCAGGGUUUACCGAUUGAAACAUGCUCUCUCUAUAUAUGAUUUUGUGCCUUAGAUGGUUCUGCGUCGAAAGUGGAAGUGCAGAUAAUCAUUCAGUUUUGUUGAUUCAUGGUUUCCCUUCACAAGCCUAUUCUUAUCGCAAAGUCCUUCCUACACUCGCCAAGAACUAUCAUGCCAUUGCUUUUGAUUGGCUAGGCUUUGGAUUUUCAGAUAAGCCUCAACUCAGAUAUGGAUUUGACUAUACUGUCGAUGAAUAUGUGGCAUCCUUGGAGUCUGUUAUUAAUGAAAUUGGCAGUUACAAGGUCUCGAUUGUUGUCUAGGCAUGUUUUCCUUCUUUGAUUUUCAAAGUUCGGAUGUAGCAGCUAACUUUAUCUAUUAUGUUUAGUAAAAUGAAACUGGAACUUCCUAUUUUUGAUGUGCUUCGCAGGGUUACUUUUCGCUUGUGGUUGUUACAUAUGCAAGCAAUCAUCAGGAAAAGCUUAAGGAUCUAGUUCUACUUGAUCCUCCGGUAUGCAUCUCCUGAAACUUUACCAUUCAGUUGCUGAAUUUCCUUCGACAAUAACUCAUUCUAUUAUUUGUGAUGCUCUUAAUUGCAUUCAGUAACAACUAAAUGAUGGUGAAUUUUUAGAAUGAAGACAACUAACAUAUGCUCCUUCCUGGUUUACUUAAGCUAACAGAAAAACAUGCCAACCUUCCGUCAACCUUGUCAUCUUUAGCAACUUUUUGCUCGGCGAAAUUUUUUCCCAGGAUCCACUAAGGGCUAGUGAUAAAGCCUUGAUGAGCUCCGAUCCUUAUAAAAUGAAAGAAGAUGAUGCAAUGGUUUAUAGAAGACCUUAUCUCACUUCUGGUUCUACAGGGUUCGCAUUGAAUGCCCUUAGUCGAGCGAUGAAGAAGGAGUUGAAGGUGAAUCUAAUUUAUUUUCUGGUAAUUUUCUCUACUUAUCGAUCAUUUAUUCAGCCUUUGUGUUUUGUAAGAUUACUUGCUA